Molecule: ribosomal RNA, 497 nt
Filed under: uncultured bacterium
Lineage: Bacteria
Description: partial 16S ribosomal RNA
Rfam family: Bacterial small subunit ribosomal RNA
Source: RNAcentral
GAUGAACGCUGGCGGCGUGCCUAAUACAUGCAAGUCGAGCGAACGGACGAGAAGCUUGCUUCUCUGAUGUUAGCGGCGGACGGGUGAGUAACACGUGGAUAACCUACCUAUAAGACUGGGAUAACUUCGGGAAACCGGAGCUAAUACCGGAUGAUAUUUUUAACCGCAUGGUUCAAAAGUGAAAGACGGUCUUGCUUUCACUUAUAGAUGGAUCCGCGCUGCAUUAGCUAGUUGGUAAGGUAACGGCUUACCAAGGCAACGAUGCAUAGCCGACCUGAGAGGGUGAUCGGCCACACUGGAACUGAGACACGGUCCAGACUCCUACGGGAGGCAGCAGUAGGGAAUCUUCCGCAAUGGGCGAAAGCCUGACGGAGCAACGCCGCGUGAGUGAUGAAGGUCUUCGGAUCGUAAAACUCUGUUAUUAGGGAAGAACAUAUGUGUAAGUAACUGUGCACAUCUUGACGGUACCUAAUCAGAAAGCCACGGCUAACUACGUG